UCCGUCUCUUCAACCAAUCAGUUCUUUAUAAAAUUCUGUUAGUCGGAAAACUUGUACUGAAUAAAAGUAAAGUCUGGUGCAGAUUAUAAAGGAAACCAUCGCAGAAAUUGUUAUUCAAUAAAAAUUCUAUAAGAUGGAAGAAACCAAUAACCCAGAUCAUGGAAAUCUGAGCCAAACAGAUAUAAACAUUCAAAAAGAACUUAUCGGAUCACACUUCCUGGAUUUGAUUCACUUAUUACCAACAUUCGAUGGUGACCAGUACGCACUCCGUAACUUUAUUGGGAGCGUGGAAGACAUGGUUUUAAACGUAAUUAAAAAUGUGUAUAAAACCGAUUGUCCGGCUUUUAUAAUGAGAGCUAUUCGCGGGAAAGUCGUCGGGGAAGCCGACAAAGUUCUCAUCUGGGAACGUACCAGCUUAAAUUGGCAGGAAAUGAAGGAAAUGUUGUUAGACAAGUUUGCAGACCACAGAAGUAUGGAUAAUUUAAUGGAAAACCUAAUGGAAAUUCGGAACUUGAAACUAACAAUUUUUCAAUUAUAUGUGGAAAUAUUAAAAAUUAGAUUUGCAUGUUUUGGUAUUUUAGAGAGACAAUAUAAAAAAGUGGAGUUUAAAAAACAUCAGGAACUCGUCUAUGAGAAACAGUUUGUGAAUACGUUUAUCGCCGGUCUCCGAGGACCUCUUAAAUAUCAGGUAGUACGCAAACAACCAAAAACACUUGGGGAAGCCUAUGAUAUUGCAAUGCAACUAAAUGAUUCAAUUUAGUAAUAGAAACGACUAUGUAAAUAAUUCUUCUUCGACUUAAAUAGUAGAUUGUAAAAGGACCAUACUUUUUUAAUUUAAAUUGCAAAAAAUAAGCAAUAUAAUAUAAAAAAAAGAUUUGCUCAUUUGCCUAUACAUUUUUAGGAUAGAAAGUUAAAAAACAACUUUUGGAAUCAAACCACCAAAUUUGUCUUCAUAGCUCAACCGAAAAAGUGAAAUUUGAAAGUUGAAUGGAUUUUAUUUAGAUGCUAGUGCCAUUGCUAUUAUUAAUGUUAUUAAUCGUAUUAAAUUGUAUUGAUUUCUUAUUACUAUUGGGUAUAAGUAAAAUAAAUUAAAACCAUUUUUAAGCUCGAAUUAUUAACAUCUUUUAGUUUAUACGUAAGACAUGGUAUUAAUAAUAACAAAAGUAAUAGUUUUAAUAUGUAUUUUUAAUUUAAUAGAUAAGCACCAUAAGCUUAGGAAAUAUUACUAUUGUGUUUAAGCAAAAUAUUGGGUCCUCAAAAUAAGAAGUACAGAAUUUAAUAAAGAUCUUUUUCCAAAUCAG
This is a long non-coding RNA of Drosophila ficusphila, 1301 nucleotides long. RefSeq lists it as uncharacterized. The transcript has 2 exons. The record is from RefSeq and is a predicted model, not a curated record. NCBI's taxonomy places the organism in Eukaryota, Metazoa, Arthropoda, Insecta, Diptera, Drosophilidae.